GACGAACGCUGGCGGCGUGCUUAACACAUGCAAGUCGAACGACGAAGCCUAGCUUGCUAGGUGGAUUAGUGGCGAACGGGCGAGUAAUACGUGAGUAACCCACCUUUAACUCUGGGAUAAGCCUGGUAAACUGGGUCUAAUGCCGGAUACGACCAAUCUCCGCAUGGGGUGUUCGUGGAAACUGCUAUGUAGUGGUUAUAGAUGGGCUCACUGCCUACCAGCUUGUUGGUGAGGUAACGGCUCACCAAGGCGACGACGGGUAGCCGGCCUGAGAGGGUGAACAGACAUACUGGGAUAGAGACAGAGGCAAGACUGCUACGGGAGGCAGCAGUGGGGAAUGUUGCACAAUGGGAGCAAGCCUGAUGCAGCGACGCCGCGGGGGGGAUGACGGCCUUCGGGUUGUAAGCCUCUGUUAGCAGGAAUGACGAGACAUUCACAGUACCUGCAGAGAAAGCGCCGGCUAACUACGUG
Molecule: ribosomal RNA, 471 nt
Filed under: uncultured bacterium
Lineage: Bacteria
Description: partial 16S ribosomal RNA
Rfam family: Bacterial small subunit ribosomal RNA
Source: RNAcentral